Molecule: ribosomal RNA, 253 nt
Filed under: uncultured bacterium
Lineage: Bacteria
Description: partial 16S ribosomal RNA
Rfam family: Bacterial small subunit ribosomal RNA
Source: RNAcentral
GACGUAGGGCGCGAGCGUUGUCCGGAUUUAUUGGGCGUAAAGAGCUCGUAGGUGGUUUGUCGCGUUGUUCGUGAAAACUCACAGCUUAACUGUGGGCGUGCGGGCGAUACGGGCAGACUUGAGUACUGCAGGGGAGACUGGAAUUCCUGGUGUAGCGGUGGAAUGCGCAGAUAUCAGGAGGAACACCGAUGGCGAAGGCAGAUCUCUGGGCCGUAACUGACGCUGAGGUGCGAAAGCGUGGGGAGCAAACAGG